RNAcentral lists this ribosomal RNA (877 nucleotides) under Spekia zonata. RNAcentral's name for it is "partial 16S ribosomal RNA". It matches the Rfam family "Bacterial large subunit ribosomal RNA", at positions 1460 to 2597 of the family's 2925-position model. Lineage: Eukaryota; Metazoa; Mollusca; Gastropoda; Thiaridae. The record is from RNAcentral.
AUUUAAGCAACGAUUUUUUAAUAAUACUUAUUUUAUUAAAACUACUGUGCUAGGAACGCUUUCAAGGAUAAGCUUAAAAGCGAUUUUUAAGACCAGCAUAAAAAUUUUAACUGUGUAGGCCUAAAAUUAGCUACCACAAAAGUUUGUUACAAAAUAGUUUCUUGUAAUACUAAAAGAUUAUUAUGCUUUUUGCCUAAACAUUAAAUGAGGAUAAAACCUAAAACUAUUAAGUUUUAUACCUAUGCUAGGAUGAGUAUCAUAAUUUUUUAUUUGCGUGGUAAAUAUUAUUCCCCGCUCUAUAAAUAAUUUAAUAAUAUUAAUUAAAUAAAAGGAAUUCGGCAAAUACUUGCUCUGCCUGUUUAUCAAAAACAUGGCUCCUUGAUUAAAAAAAAAAUAAGGAGUCGGACCUGCCCAGUGAAUUUCUUUUAACGGCCGCGGUACUCUGACCGUGCAAAGGUAGCGUAAUCAUUUGCCUUAUAAUUGAAGGCUAGUAUGAAUGGUUUGACAUGAGCAAUUCUGUCUCUUUUUUAUUUUUUAAAAAUUAACUUUUAGGUGAAGAGGCCUAAAUAAAAUUAAAGGACAAGAAGACCCUGUCGAGCUUAAAAGACAAAAUAGGAAUUAAUAUCUAAGAAAUACACUUCUAUUAAGCUUUUUAGUUGGGGCGACUAAGGAACAAACAAAGCUUCUUUCAAAAAAUCACGCUAAUCAGCAAAGAUCCAGCAUCACUGAUCAAGAAAAUUAGUUACCGCAGGGAUAACAGCAUAAUCUCUCUUGAGAGACCAAAUCGAAAGGGGGGGUUGUGACCUCGAUGUUGGACUAGAAUAUCCGAAAGAUGCAGACGUCUUUGAAGGUUGGUCUGUUCGACCAUUAAAAUUCU